GAUGAACGCUGGCGGCAGGCUUAACACAUGCAAGUCGAGCGCUGUAGCAAUACAGAGCGGCAGACGGGUGAGUAACACGUGGGAAUCUACCCAUCCCUGCGGAACAACUCCGGGAAACUGGAGCUAAUACCGCAUACGCCCUAUGGGGGAAAGAUUUAUCGGGGAUGGAUGAGCCCGCGUUGGAUUAGCUAGUUGGUGGGGUAAAGGCGUACCAAGGCGACGAUCCAUAGCUGGUCUGAGAGGAUGAUCAGCCACAUUGGGACUGAGACACGGCCCAAACUCCUACGGGAGGCAGCAGUGGGGAAGAUUGGACAAUGGGCGCAAGCCGGAUCGAGCCAUGCCGCGUGAGUGAUGAAGGCCUUAGGGUUGUAAAGCUCUUUCACCGAUGAAGAUAAUGACAGUAGUCGGAGAAGAAGCCCCGGCUAACUUCGUGCCAGCCGCCGCCGUAA
RNAcentral lists this ribosomal RNA (449 nucleotides) under uncultured bacterium. RNAcentral's name for it is "partial 16S ribosomal RNA". It matches the Rfam family "Bacterial small subunit ribosomal RNA", at positions 28 to 523 of the family's 1533-position model. The record is from RNAcentral.